RNAcentral lists this small RNA (125 nucleotides) under Marmota monax (woodchuck). Lineage: Eukaryota; Metazoa; Chordata; Mammalia; Rodentia; Sciuridae. The record is from RNAcentral.
GCUGGGUGUGGUGACGCACACCUGAAAUCCCAGCAGCUCAGGAGGCUGAGGCAGGAGGAUCACAAGUUCAAAGCCAGCCUUAGCAAAGGUGAGGCACUAAGCAACUCAGUGAGACCCUGUCUCUA